AACGUGGAGGAAGGUGGGGAUGACGUCAAAUCAUCAUGCCCCUUAUGUCUAGGGCUACACACGUGCUACAAUGGCUGGUACAACGAGCAGCAAACCCGCGAGGGGGAGCAAAACUUGAAAGCCAGUCCCAGUUCGGAUUGUAGGCUGAAACUCGCCUACAUGAAGUUGGAGUUGCUAGUAAUCGCGAAUCAGCAUGUCGCGGUGAAUACGUUCCCGGGUCUUGUACACACCGCCCGUCACACCAUGAGAGCCGGUAACACCCGAAGCCCGUGAGGUAACCGUAAGGAGCCAGCGGUCGAAGGUGGGAUUGGUGAUUGGGGUGAAGUCGUAACAAGGUAGCCGUAGGAGAACCUGCGGCUGGAUCACCUCCUUUCUAGGGA
This 380-nucleotide ribosomal RNA is filed under the name Clostridium sp. K25. Its description in RNAcentral is "bacterial SSU rRNA". It matches the Rfam family "Bacterial small subunit ribosomal RNA", at positions 1160 to 1533 of the family's 1533-position model. The record is from RNAcentral. Lineage: Bacteria; Bacillati; Bacillota; Clostridia; Eubacteriales; Clostridiaceae.